Non-coding RNA from Pelobates cultripes (western spadefoot toad), 349 nucleotides. NCBI's taxonomy places the organism in Eukaryota, Metazoa, Chordata, Amphibia, Anura, Pelobatidae. The record is from the annotation of a GenBank genome assembly.
GAUUAAUAUUAAUUAAGUGAAAUAUUUAUCAGAUAAAGAAUUGUUUUAACUAAACCUGCAAGAAUUUGGUUAGUGGAUGGAUUAAUCAUAAUUCAUUACUCUGUGAAACAGCCGUGAGCUGGUUAGAAUUCUGUGGCCAGCUGAUAAAACAUUGUCUGUAGAACUCUGUGUUUUACAAUCUAUGUCCAGCUAAGUCUAAUGAAUGUUUACAGUAGACAAACAAUCCACAAGUGAUUGUAAAUCUACUAAGGGUAAAACUAAGAUUGUAUUCCUUGAGAUCCUGAAAAAUCUGUCUUUAAAUUAUAAUAAUCAAUAUGCUGAUAACUCAUAUGGUUCUUUAUAAUUUAAC